Molecule: ribosomal RNA, 555 nt
Filed under: uncultured bacterium
Lineage: Bacteria
Description: partial 16S ribosomal RNA
Rfam family: Bacterial small subunit ribosomal RNA
Source: RNAcentral
UAGGGAAUCUUCCACAAUGGACGCAAGUCUGAUGGAGCAACGCCGCGUGAGUGAAGAAGGUUUUCGGACCGUAAAGCUCUGUUGUUGGUGAAGAAGGAUAGAGGUAGUAACUGGCCUUUAUUUGACGGUAAUCAACCAGAAAGUCACGGCUAACUACGUGCCAGCAGCCGCGGUAAUACGUAGGUGGCAAGCGUUGUCCGGAUUUAUUGGGCGUAAAGCGAGCGCAGGCGGAAGAAUAAGUCUGAUGUGAAAGCCCUCGGCUUAACCGAGGAAUUGCAUCGGAAACUGUUUUUCUUGAGUGCAGAAGAGGAGAGUAGAACUCCAUGUGUAGCGGUGGAAUGCGUAGAUAUAUGGAAGAAUACCAGUGGCGAAGGCGGCUCUCUGGUCUGCAACUGACGCUGAGGCUCGAAAGCAUGGGUAGCGAACAGGAUUAGAUACCCUGGUAGUCCAUGCCGUAAAACGAUGAGUGCUAAGUGUUGGGAGGCUUCCGCCUCUCAGUGCUGCAGCUAAACGCAUUAAGCACUCCGCCUGGGGGAGUACGACCGCAAGGUUGAA